This 441-nucleotide ribosomal RNA is filed under the name uncultured bacterium. RNAcentral describes it as "partial 16S ribosomal RNA". It matches the Rfam family "Bacterial small subunit ribosomal RNA", at positions 338 to 795 of the family's 1533-position model. The record is from RNAcentral.
CCUACGGGUGGCAGCAGUGGGGAAUAUUGCGCAAUGGGGGAAACCCUGACGCAGCAACGCCGCGUGAGUGAGGAAGUAUCUCGGUGUGUAAAGCUCUAUCAGCGGGGAAGAAGGAAGACGGUACCCGACUAAGAAGCCCCGGCUAACUACGUGCCAGCAGCCGCGGUAAUACGUAGGGGGCGAGCGUUAUCCGGAUUUACUGGGUGUAAAGGGAGAGUAGACGGCGUGGCAAGUCUGAAGUGAAAGCCCGUGGCACAACCGCGGAACCGCUGUGGAAACUGUGAGGCUGGAGUGCUGGAGAGGAGAGCGGAAGUCCAGGUGUAGCGGUGAAAUGCGUAGAUAUAAGGAGGAACACCAGUGGCGAAGGCGGCUUACUGGAAAGUGACUGACGUUGAGGCUCGAAAGCGUGGGGAGCGAACAGGAUUAGAUACCCCGGUAGUC